This 483-nucleotide ribosomal RNA is filed under the name uncultured Pseudomonadota bacterium. RNAcentral's name for it is "bacterial SSU rRNA". It matches the Rfam family "Bacterial small subunit ribosomal RNA", at positions 35 to 516 of the family's 1533-position model. Lineage: Bacteria; Pseudomonadati; Pseudomonadota. The record is from RNAcentral.
GCUGGCGGCAGGCCUAACACAUGCAAGUCGAGCGCGAAAGCACUUCGGUGUGAGUAGAGCGGCGGACGGGUGAGUAACGCGUAAGAAUCUACCUAGUAGUGGGGGACAACUCGGGGAAACUCGAGCUAAUACCGCAUACGCCCUACGGGGGAAAGCGGGGGACCUUCGGGCCUCGUGCUAUUAGAUGAGCUUGCGUUGGAUUAUCUUGUUGGUGGGGUAAUGGCCCACCAAGGCGACGAUCCAUAGCUGGUCUGAGAGGAUGAUCAGCCACACCGGGACUGAGACACGGCCCGGACUCCUACGGGAGGCAGCAGUGGGGAAUAUUGCGCAAUGGGCGAAAGCCUGACGCAGCCAUGCCGCGUGUGUGAAGAAGGCCCUAGGGUUGUAAAGCACUUUCAAUUGGGAGGAAAAGCUAACGACUAAUACUCGUUAGCCUUGACGUUACCUUUAGAAGAAGCACCGGCUAACUCCGUGCCAGCAGCC